GUGCCAGCAGCCGCGGUAAUACGUAGGGGGCAAGCGUUGUCCGGAUUUAUUGGGCGUAAAGAGCGUGUAGGCGGCUGGGUAGGUCCGUUGUGAAAACUCGAGGCUCAACCUCGAGACGCCGAUGGAAACCCCCCAGCUAGAGUCCGGAAGAGGAGAGUGGAAUUCCUGGUGUAGCGGUGAAAUGCGCAGAUAUCAGGAAGAACACCCGUGGCUAAGGCGGCUCUCUAGUACGGUACUGACGCUGAGACGCGAAAGCGUGGGGAGCGAACAGGAUUAGAUACCCGGGUAGUCC
RNAcentral lists this ribosomal RNA (292 nucleotides) under uncultured bacterium. Its description in RNAcentral is "partial 16S ribosomal RNA". It matches the Rfam family "Bacterial small subunit ribosomal RNA", at positions 505 to 796 of the family's 1533-position model. The record is from RNAcentral.